UCUCUUCCAGCGCACACCUUCUUCCAAUCCGCGGAUCGAUUUUCUUCUUUGUGGGAGCUUCAUUUUUGGAGCCAUUUCCACUAACGAGACUAGCACGGAGCUUGGGAGAGCAAAUGUGAGGGUGAGAUGAAGAGUUUCUAGUGGAAGGAUAGGGAUUUUUGGAGGAGUGAUACCCCAAUUUGGAAGAGACGGGUGGAAUCUAGGGCACGCUCAAUCCGCUCCAAAUAAGGGAGGAGAUGGGGAAGAACUUGAUUCCUAAGGGUCGAUUUGAGGUGUAAGGGGCGAUGGGAGAAGAGUCUAGAGGGAAAGCUUGGGUUUGGAGAAGAAAAGGAGGGGACCUAUGGCU
Molecule: long non-coding RNA, 346 nt
Filed under: Elaeis guineensis (African oil palm)
Lineage: Eukaryota; Viridiplantae; Streptophyta; Magnoliopsida; Arecales; Arecaceae
Description: long non-coding RNA (EGUI_LNC046310)
Source: RNAcentral